CUUCCUCAGUUAUGGAAUGAUUUAUCCUAGCAAAUUGUUGAGGUGUGUGCGCUAUUUAUCAACGACUACCUGCUAGCCUCGUCAACAAUCUUCAAAGUAAGCGACGGAAAGAAAACGUUUUCCAGUUCUAAAAUAUUAAGCCCCCGGUGAGGACGUCAUUACUUAACAAAAGCCGGUUCAACACGCACAGCUCCUGUUCAUGACGUCAUCACUAAACUGAAGCCAGCUGAACACGCGCAGCACGGAUGGUACCCCGAGCGCGGUAG
Molecule: long non-coding RNA, 266 nt
Organism: Anopheles merus
Lineage: Eukaryota; Metazoa; Arthropoda; Insecta; Diptera; Culicidae
Exons: 3
Source: RefSeq, a predicted model, not a curated record